This 70-nucleotide transfer RNA is filed under the name Dipodomys ordii (Ord's kangaroo rat). It matches the Rfam family "tRNA". From Rfam's summary of the family: Transfer RNA (tRNA) molecules are approximately 80 nucleotides in length. Their secondary structure includes four short double-helical elements and three loops (D, anti-codon, and T loops). Further hydrogen bonds mediate the characteristic L-shaped molecular structure. tRNAs have two regions of fundamental functional importance: the anti-codon, which is responsible for specific mRNA codon recognition, and the 3' end, to which the tRNAs corresponding amino acid is attached (by aminoacyl-tRNA synthetases). tRNAs cope with the degeneracy of the genetic code in two manners: having more than one tRNA (with a specific anti-codon) for a particular amino acid; and 'wobble' base-pairing, i.e. permitting non-standard base-pairing at the 3rd anti-codon position. Lineage: Eukaryota; Metazoa; Chordata; Mammalia; Rodentia; Heteromyidae. The record is from Rfam by way of RNAcentral.
AGGAAUGCGGCUUAAUGGUAGAGUGCUUGCCUAGCAUGCAUGAAGCCCUAGGUUCGAUUCCUCAGUACUA